This 428-nucleotide ribosomal RNA is filed under the name bacterium. RNAcentral's name for it is "partial 16S ribosomal RNA". It matches the Rfam family "Bacterial small subunit ribosomal RNA", at positions 355 to 776 of the family's 1533-position model. The record is from RNAcentral.
UGGGGAAUCUUGCGCAAUGGGCGAAAGCCUGACGCAGCGACGCCGCGUGCGGGAAGAAGGCCUUCGGGUUGUAAACCGCUUUCAGGAGGGACGAAGCCACUCGGGUUAAUAGCCCAGAGGGUGACGGUACCUCCAGAAGAAGCCCCGGCUAACUACGUGCCAGCAGCCGCGGUAAUACGUAGGGGGCAAGCGUUGUCCGGAUUCAUUGGGCGUAAAGCGCGUGUAGGCGGCCAGGUAGGUCCGGUGUGAAAACUCGAGGCUCAACCUCGAGAGGUCAGCGGAAACCAUCUGGCUAGAGUACGGAAGAGGAGAGUGGAAUUCCCGGUGUAGCGGUGAAAUGCGCAGAUAUCGGGAAGAACACCCAUGGCGAAGGCAGCUCUCUGGGACGGUACUGACGCUGAGACGCGAAAGCGUGGGGAGCGAACAGG